This 508-nucleotide ribosomal RNA is filed under the name uncultured bacterium. RNAcentral describes it as "partial 16S ribosomal RNA". It matches the Rfam family "Bacterial small subunit ribosomal RNA", at positions 28 to 523 of the family's 1533-position model. The record is from RNAcentral.
GAUGAACGCUAGCUACAGGCUUAACACAUGCAAGUCGAGGGAAAACGAUAUUGGAAGCUUGCUUCCGAUAGGCGUCGACCGGCGCACGGGUGAGUAACGCGUAUCCAACCUGCCCAUCACUUGGGGAUAACCUUGCGAAAGUAAGACUAAUACCCAAUGACGUCUCUAGAAGACAUCUGAAAGAGAUUAAAGAUUUAUCGGUGAUGGAUGGGGAUGCGUCUGAUUAGCUUGUUGGCGGGGUAACGGCCCACCAAGGCGACGAUCAGUAGGGGUUCUGAGAGGAAGGUCCCCCACAUUGGGACUGAGACACGGUCCAAACUCCUACGGGAGGCAGCAGUGAGGAAUAUUGGUCAAUGGACGAGAGUCUGAACCAGCCAAGUAGCGUGCGGGAUGACGGCCCUAUGGGUUGUAAACUGCUUUUAUAAGGGAAUAAAGUGAGAGUCGUGACUCUUUUUGCAUGUACCUUAUGAAUAAGGACCGGCUAAUUCCGUGCCAGCAGCCGCGGUAA